This 606-nucleotide long non-coding RNA is filed under the name Panax ginseng (ginseng). RNAcentral describes it as "long non-coding RNA (PGIN_LNC018930)". The record is from RNAcentral. Lineage: Eukaryota; Viridiplantae; Streptophyta; Magnoliopsida; Apiales; Araliaceae.
UUUAGUGAUCAAUAAGGAUGAGAGAUUCAACAUUUAUGCAUUUGUACAUGCACAUAUGUAUCUGUAUAUUAUUAGUCCUAUAUAAAGGGUUUGUUUAGUUACAUAUCAUUUAGAGCGUUUGCGGCGGUCGUGUUUGGUUGGACCUCCAAAUGCACUGCACUAUUUUCUGUGUGUUGCGUUUGAGUUUCAAAUGAUUCGUUUGGGAGUUAAGUAAGCAGCGUUAGAAAUAAGUUGCUUCUAGAGAUGAAUAAGAUUUUUAAGUACGUUUGAACUUACAAAUGCUCUAAAAUGCACUAAAAGUGAUGUGUAAUGAAACAUGCACAUAGCCACUUGAGAAUGUGACUUCUGGCUUUUUCACACAUUAGUUGUUAGUAUAAGGCUUCAUGUCUGGUUGAGAUAAGUAGGAACAUAAUAUAUGCUGAUAUUUGUUGCAAGUGCCAAUAGAAUCAUAUUCUUGAAAUGCAUUUUAUGAACUAAUAUUUGGUGGAAGUGCCAACAAAAUCAUAUUCUUGAAUAACACCCCUCUUAUUAUUCGGAUAAAAAAGGCAUUAUCAUUGCUAAGUGCUUUUUUUUUGGCUAAAUUUUUGUUAAGUGCUUUUUAACUAC